RNA transcript from Pseudoliparis swirei, 1454 nucleotides. It is a transcript of the gene named coiled-coil-helix-coiled-coil-helix domain containing 6a, with no coding region annotated. Lineage: Eukaryota; Metazoa; Chordata; Actinopteri; Perciformes; Liparidae. The transcript has 10 exons. The record is from RefSeq and is a predicted model, not a curated record.
UGGGCAGGACACAUCAAUUUAUGCUACUAACUUAAUUCUACGCAAGGUCACUAUCAAAACUGCCCCGUACCACCGGAAGCUAUGGGGUCGGGAGAGAGCACGACCCGAAAAGUGUCUUUUGGUGUCGACGACGAGGAACGAGUCCGGAUUCUACGCGGAGUGAAGCUUUCAGAAGAUGUUCUCCAGAGGAUGAGAGGAGUGGCCAACAUUGCUCCAGAAACCACAUUCCUACCAACCUCAAGCCCUCAGAAAGACACAGGUGUUCCUCGCAGCGCCAGCUCAGGGUCAGGACCCCUGCCGGGCCCUCAGCACCAGGCCAAACCCGGUACCCAGUCCAGCACUAGCAAAUCAGCCUCCUUUGCCAAGGAAGAACAGAAAAGGUAUGAACACCAGAAGACAGCAUUGAAGGAGGAAUGGGUCAAAGUGGCGCAAAGAGAGAGGGAGGCGGCGAGGGAGGAGAUGACUAAAGCCAUGACCCAGGAAAGGCAACUAAAACGACAAGAAGCCGAGAACGCCAAACAACUGUCUGCAGAUGAGAUAAAUGUGACGGCUCAGCAGCUACAGAAGAAAGAUAUACAGCUGAAGGCAUUGGACAACUUCUACAAGGAGCAGCUGGCACAGCUGGAGAAUAGGAAUUUGGAGAGAUAUGAGCAGAGCAAGGACGAAUUCCACCGAGCUGCCUCCAAGACGGAAGAAAGCGUGAGGUCUCGCAAUACCGACCCGGUGUGUCUUGGCCUGCAGGCUCAGAUCUCAUCUUGCUACAGGGACAAUAGAGACCAGACCCUGAGGUGUUCCGACCUGGCCAAAGAAUACAUGCGCUGUAUCAAUGCUGCAAAGAAGUAAAAGUGGACACAGCGUUUUCAGAACCACUCGCAGUGCUAAUUGCUUUUGCUUGGACCAAGAACCUGCUGGUCAACCACGGAGGAUGAGGAAAAGGUCAUCGGACGUCGGCUUUUACUUUGGCACUAAGAGCGGCACUCGCCGCGUUCCCGUUUUAAGAUUAUGAGAGAGUGGCUUUUCUGUUCGCAUGCAUUGUUUUAAAAACACUCAUGAUGGUAUUUAUCUGCGGUGUCAUCCAGUAGAGGGUGCGCUGUUGUUUUUUUGCACUGCUACAUUUUACAAGGACGCUUUCCUGAUGCGCUUUCAAUUCCCGUCAUUCACAUGUUCAGGCGAAAGGGUUUCUAGGACGUGGGCUGUAGAGAUCCAUCCAGGGUCAGUCCUCCAUUUUCUGAAAUUCAGUUCAGGUGCGAGAUGAAUUCGAGUGCAUCGGGACCAUCCUGGUUUUGUUGACUGACUGAAAAAAAUAGAAGCGAUUGACUUUUAUUGUUUUUAAAUUGCGUGUUUUUUCCCCCCCAACAACACUGGAGUAAAAGCUCAGGUAAUCCUGGCCAUGUGCAAAAUACAUCAGACCUGUAGUGUAUGAAUUUAUUAAACGUUUCAUUCAUAUCCUGUGA